ACGGGAGGCAGCAGUGGGGAAUAUUGCACAAUGGAGGGAACUCUGAUGCAGCGAUGCCGCGUGGAGGAAGAAGGUUUUCGGAUUGUAAACUCCUUUUAUCAGGGACGAUAAUGACGGUACCUGAAGAAAAAGCUCCGGCUAACUACGUGCCAGCAGCCGCGGUAAUACGUAGGGAGCGAGCGUUGUCCGGAAUUACUGGGUGUAAAGGGAGCGUAGGCGGGAUAGCAAGUCAGAUGUGAAAACUAUGGGCUCAACCUGUAGAUUGCAUUUGAAACUGUUGUUCUUGAGUGAAGUAGAGGUAAGCGGAAUUCCUAGUGUAGCGGUGAAAUGCGUAGAUAUUAGGAGGAACAUCGGUGGCGAAGGCGGCUUACUGGGCUUUUACUGACGCUGAGGCUCGAAAGCGUGGGGAGCAAACAGGAUUAGAUACCCUGGUAGUCCACGCUGUAAACGAUGAUUACUAGGUGUGGGGGGACUGACCCCUUCCGUGCC
Molecule: ribosomal RNA, 489 nt
Filed under: uncultured bacterium
Lineage: Bacteria
Description: bacterial SSU rRNA
Rfam family: Bacterial small subunit ribosomal RNA
Source: RNAcentral